This 253-nucleotide ribosomal RNA is filed under the name uncultured bacterium. RNAcentral describes it as "partial 16S ribosomal RNA". It matches the Rfam family "Bacterial small subunit ribosomal RNA", at positions 524 to 776 of the family's 1533-position model. The record is from RNAcentral.
UACGGAGGAUGCAGGCGUUAUCCGGAUUUAUUAGGUUUAAAGGGUGCGCAGGCGGCACACUAAGUCAGUGGUGAAAGUUUGCAGCUUAACUGUAAAAUUGCCAUUGAUACUGGUAUGCUUGAAUAUGGUAGAGGUAGGCGGAAUGUGUAGUGUAGCGGUGAAAUGCUUAGAUAUUACACAGAACACCCAUUGCGAAGGCAGCUUACUAUGCCAUUAUUGACGCUGAGGCACGAAAGCGUGGGGAGCGAACAGG